CGAGCAUGAAUUAGAUUACUCAGGCUAGAAAAAGAGCCGCGGCGAGCGGGCUUCGCGAGCGCUUUCCGGGAAGGUCGGUGGGUUCCGCCUUGGAGCGGGUGGCGGUGCCUUUUCCCCCCUUACGGUUUCUGGAAAUGCGGGGUUUCAGCUGCCGUGGGAGGGGAGGCCCGUAUAAUGCACAGUGAGUGCUGCGUUGUAUGUCUCGGAGCACUUCGGUCCAGUUGCAAAGGAAUGGCUCCAGCCUUCGUUUGUUUGCUGCCUCUUGAAAGCCAGGAUUGCUAGCAUUCAGGGCCCCAUUCAGACGUGGCUUGUCGCAAGGCGGCUUCUUUGGGUGUCCCUGGGCGCGUCUCUGUUCCACGUGGUGACUCUGGUGUCGCUGAAGUUUCUGUCGAAUGUCUUACUCUGCACGUUGCUUUUGCUUUUUGGGCUUUAAAAAGGCAACCCCGAAAUGCUGUCCUUUUUAAAAUAACUUCAGUGAUGUUAACACUUGCAAAUGAUAUCGGCGGGAAGGACAGUUGAAACUACCUUUAAUUAUGUUGUCCCUCACCUAUAAGAAGAGCAAGUUGCAUUUUUGGUACUUUGAAAAAGAAAACCUCCGUUUCAAUUUUAUGCAACAGGUUCCUGAAAUAGAGUGGAUGGCAAGCCUACGACCUAAUCAAGUCCGGUGGUUGCUGUGGCUAGAGCUGAUGGAUGUUGUUGUGUUGGGUUCUGUUGGGUUCUACGAGGGCUGAAUGAAAAGGGAUGCCUCCAAAAUCCUGUCCUGCCUUAGAAGCCCAGAUAUAAUCUUUAGUAUCUGUUCUUUCACCUCUGUUGGCGGGAAGUUGCUGUGAGGAAAAGUUGUGUUGCUCUUGUUUGUGAAAUGGAAGCCUUCGCUGAAUAUUCCUCAGUACGCUUUAAACAACGUGCUGUGAUUGAGUUUUUGACGGCUGAAGGAGUUCCUCCAAUUGAAAUUCACCGCCAAAUGCUUGCUGUUUAUGGGGAUUGUGUGGAUGUGAGUACGGUGCGUCGCUGGGCAAAAAAAUGUAAAGGUGGUAAACCAGGAAGAACUGAUUUAUGUGAUCAAGAACGCAGUGGAAGACCAGUGACUGCCACUGAUCAGUUUCAUGUGAAAAAAGUUGAUGAACUGAUCAAGAACAAUCAGCAGAUCACUCAAAGAGAAAUUGCUGCCAAGCUUGGCAUUUCACAGGAACGUGUGGGACACAUUAUUGAUAUUCUUCAGUAUCGGAAAGUUUGUGCAAGAUGGGUUCCUCGUGUGCUGACACCAGAGAUGUAUGCAGCAUAUACAGAUGAUGCUCUAGAGGAAGAUAUACUUUGAAGACUUGUAUGCUGCAAGAUCUUAAUUUUCUACAUACCACUGGAAGAAGGUGUGUUCUCUUCCCCACAGCUAUUGGAAGAGACUCAACAUUUAGAGAGCUGCAGGGGUUAGAAUGCAGCACUGCUGAUUGUCAGCUGCCUGCAGUUUGAAUCUCACUAGGCUCAAGGUUGACUCAGCCUUCCAUCCUUCUGAGGUCUGUAAAAUGAGGACCCAGAUUGCUGGGGGCAAUAUCCUGACUCUGUAAACAGCUUACAGAGCUGUUGUAAACAGACUGGGAAGUGCUAUUGAUAUUUAGAUGUGCCAAGUUAUUCUGUAUAUCAAUUAGUUGGCAGAGGAAUAUAUGUGAUUUUAUAUUAAAAUCUUUCUUCUGAAGAAAUGAAAAUAUAAUUGUAAGGAGAUGGACAUUUGCAAGG
This 1728-nucleotide long non-coding RNA is filed under the name Notechis scutatus (mainland tiger snake). Its description in RNAcentral is "lncRNA (ENSNSUG00000015560.1)". Lineage: Eukaryota; Metazoa; Chordata; Lepidosauria; Squamata; Elapidae. The record is from RNAcentral.